GACGAACGCUGGCGGCGUGCUUAACACAUGCAAGUCGAGCGGUAAGGCCCUUUCGGGGGUACGACGAGCGGCGAACGGGUGAGUAACACGUGGGUGACCUGCCCUCAGCUCUGGGAUAAGCCUGGGAAACUGGGUCUAAUACCGGAUAUGACUCCAUGACGCAUGUUGUGGGGUGGAAAGCCUUGUGCGGCUGGGGAGUGGGCCCGCGGCCUAUCAGCUUGUUGGUGGGGUGAGGCCUACCAAGGCGACGACGGGUAGCCGGCCUGAGAGGGCGACCGGCCACACUGGGACUGAGACACGGCCCAGACUCCUACGGGAGGCAGCAGUGGGGAAUCUUGCGCAAUGGGCGAAAGCCUGACGCAGCGACGCCGCGUGAGGGAUGACGGCCU
Molecule: ribosomal RNA, 389 nt
Filed under: uncultured bacterium
Lineage: Bacteria
Description: bacterial SSU rRNA
Rfam family: Bacterial small subunit ribosomal RNA
Source: RNAcentral